GACGAACGCUGGCGGCGUGCCUAAUACAUGCAAGUUGAGCGCUGAAGGAUGGUACUUGUACCAACUGGAUGAGCAGCGAACGGGUGAGUAACGCGUGGGUAAUCUGCCUUUGAGCGGGGGACAACAUUUGGAAACGAAUGCUAAUACCGCAUAAAAACUUUAAACACAAGUUUUAAGUUUGAAAGAUGCAAUUGCAUCACUCAAAGAUGAUCCCGCGUUGUAUUAGCUAGUUGGUGAGGUAAAGGCUCACCAAGGCGAAGAUACAUAGGCGACCUGAGAGGGUGAUUGGCCACAUUGGGACUGAGACACGGCCCAAACUCCUACGGGAGGCAGCAGUAGGGAAUCUUCGGCAAUGGACGAAAGUCUGACCGAGCAACGCCGCGUGAGUGAAGGAGGUUUUCGGAUCGUAAAACUCUGUUGGUAGAGAAGGACGUUGGUGAGAGUGGAAAGCUCAUCAAGUGACGGUAACUACCCAGAAAGGGACGGCUAACUACGUG
This 497-nucleotide ribosomal RNA is filed under the name uncultured bacterium. RNAcentral describes it as "partial 16S ribosomal RNA". It matches the Rfam family "Bacterial small subunit ribosomal RNA", at positions 28 to 507 of the family's 1533-position model. The record is from RNAcentral.